This 24-nucleotide non-coding RNA is filed under the name Arabidopsis thaliana (thale cress). Lineage: Eukaryota; Viridiplantae; Streptophyta; Magnoliopsida; Brassicales; Brassicaceae. The record is from RNAcentral.
UGGGCCAACUCAACUCAACUCAAC